Molecule: long non-coding RNA, 3119 nt
Filed under: Marmota monax (woodchuck)
Lineage: Eukaryota; Metazoa; Chordata; Mammalia; Rodentia; Sciuridae
Source: RNAcentral
CUGAAUCUGUGUUUUUCGGCAGGCACCGACCGUCACGAGCUAACUUCCUGGAAGAGCUUCCCGUCUAUUUUCAAAUUCUUUACCGAAGCCUCUGAGGCAAAGACCAGUUCCCUCAAGCCGACUCUGACACGACGCUCCCACCGAAUAAAGCACGAAGAGCUGUAAGAGGAGAGCGAGCGAGACGGGGGAGGGGAAGCCAAGGAACCACUCUGGAGCAUGCAUCCACACGUCGCCUAACUGCUUGCUGUCGGGGAGCAGACUCCCAGCCCCUCAUUAGAUUGUUUUCUUCCUAGAGCACAGGGUCGUGAUAUAUACAUCUAAAUAGCGUUUUGCAUUAUUUCUAGAUGAGUGCAACUGUCAAAGCAAUAUGGGUUCACUGGUCGUGCUUCCUGCGGGCUGAGCUCGGGCUUCGCGCUGCCCGUCAGCGCGCAGAUUAAGGCUGACAGCGCCCUGCCUGGCGCGGCCGGCGCUGCUCUAAUUGCCCUGACGGAGCCCGCGCGGGCGCUGCGGGGCGAGCGGCGUCUGCGCGGUCCUACCGCCCGCUGCAGCGCAGCCGCUGCUUUCUUCACCCGCCCACCCCCUAAUCAUGUCCAUUUUUCCCGCUCUGAGAGGAGCAAGCUUUUAUUCUAGACUUCAAACUUUUCAUUUUAACCAAGUUUUUCCUCAAGGGCAUAUUAUGCCCCCCCUUAGAAAGUGCCGCCCAUUGCCAAAUUUAAAUUCAGAACAUGAAUGCGAUGAUGUACUGUGUAGUUUUGGGAGUGCAAAUUGUUCUCUUCCUAACGAUCUAUUUUCAUUUCGAGAAGAAAAUCUUUGCAUAAAAAAUCUAUUAAAGUACCGAAUCUGCUUUACUGCUGAAAAUCCUUACAAGUUGAAUGUGAGACUUUUACAGUCUCUAAUUUCAGAAGAGACCACUUAAACCAAAACAUAAUGAGCAGAUCUUUAAAGUAUAGGUGGGAAAGUUCUAAUUUUCAAUGGAAUUUCCAGCUUUCUGAUUAGGAUUGACUUUACUUUUUAUAUUUGUAAUGUGUAUUGAGUGGUAUUGUGAUUUAGAUAACACACUUAAGUUCUGCUUCUUAAGUCUCAGCUGUGGAGAAAGGUGGUGGUGGUGGUUGUCUUUGUUGUUGUUAAUCCUUACUAGAGUGAUCUACUUAGAGUUUUCCUGAGCUACAGAUAGAAUUUUUUAUUAUCAUCAGGAAAAUAAAGCUCUACUCUGGAGCCUUUUCCUUCCGAAAGGCUAAGAAGGGCUAAAAUGAUUCUUUCUGUUUUCUUCUCCAAUGGGGAAAGAGAGAUUUAGUGUGAAAGAUUUUCUCCUCUUGGCCCAGUGGCAUAAUUUUUAGUACUCCACUUCCUAUGUAGGGUUUUACCCUACAGUUUCAACAAUUAAGUAUUUUAAUAAAGUUAAGAUUGGCCAACACUGAAAUAUAAGGGAUAAAAUAAGUUCAGAUUUUUCUGACUUUCAAUUUAAAAUAUUAAAAAUUAACAUUAUCAAUUUUUAAUUACUUGACUUUAAUUAUCUAGUGAAGAUUGUAAUAGAUGAGGUUCUGAAUUUAAUAUUUUUCAUCCUUUUUAAAAGCAUAUGCAACAACUAAUAUGCCUGCCUUAUUUGAGAACAUGAUAAAAUGUACCCAAAAUGACUUAGCACUCUUUAAUGCCUCAGAAAAAAUAACCUGAAAUCAAUCACCUCAUGGAUAAAUUUUUUAUAUUAUGUAUCAAUUGCAGCAAAUUUUAAAACCUGAAUAAUAUUUCAUGCUGUGUUUGGAAUACAAGCACAUUCAUUAGUUCUAUAGUUUCAAUGAUGGCAAACUAAAGUGAUCUUUUUUCAGUGGUUGUGUCUGUAUCUUUUGAUGUUAUUUAAGCAGAAACAACCGUAAGAGGAAAAAUCAAAAUGGCAUUUUAUACAGCUUCUGGGUGGUUUAAAAUGUAAUCUCAACAAUGUCAAGCACAUUGGUCUGUGGUACUGACCCUUUUUUAUCUGAUCUUUCCGAUUUUAGAAGUAAUAGUAGACUAUGUAAAAUAAUGGUAUCUUCCAGUGAGAGGAUUUGAGAAUUGAUGUGAAUUGAAUAUAUUUUUCCAAGUGUUACAAAUUGUGUGGUGUUUUCAGUAUAUGAAAAUGUUCACAAGAAACUAAUUUUGUAGCAUUUAAAAAAAAAACAACACUUGUGCAAUGCUAAAUUUGCGAAGCUUCUGCAGCUGAAUUAAAGCAAAGUAAAUAUGCUCAAUUUAUAAACCAAAAGACUCCUAUUCCUUCUCUCCAAUUUUCUCUCCAAUUUUCUCACCUCUUUUUAAAAAAUCUUUACUUGUAACUAGAGAAAAAUCACUGUUUAAUUGCCUUUAAUACUUUAAAACUGCUGGAUUGUAAAGCCUUGUUUAACUAUCUAUAGAGAGAUAUUUGCAAACUUAAGUUGUGUAAAUGUAAUUUCUACUUGUGGAUCUGAGCUGUGGCAACCCAGAGAGAGCUAGGCAAACCAUUCCAGACCACCUACUGAUUACUGAUCAGAUUCCUUGUUUGUAAUGUAGGAUUCUUUAACCUGUUGAUUAUGGCUCUGUUGGUAUAAAGUGUAGUGAUAUUGUGAACUCAAUUUUCCUGCAGUAACAAUAGCAGUUGGUAGUAGCCGCCUGCUUAUGGGUGGCCAGUGUUAACAGUAUUUCUGCUCUGAUCUUCUCCCCAUUUUGGUGCCCUUGGGUAUUUUAGGUGAACAGAGAUUUAAAGUAAAGAUAUAGAGUCUUUAUUUUAAUUACAUGCUUAGUAUGUAGAGCAAGUGGAUGGAAAAGGAGUUGUUGAUAAUGUAAGAUUCAAAAUAGUCCUGUCAAAACUUAAAAGCCACCUAAGCUUUGCAACUUUCUAAAGGUACCUAACCAUACAGUCAUUAAAAAUCUUCAUGGAUAUUUGAAAGGGAUACCAUCAACUUGUCAUACUUGUUCUUUUCUCAUAUUUCUGCCUUGUGCUUCAGUCGGGUUGCAUUCUUGUUGAUAUGUCAAAAAAAAAAAAAAGAUAAGGCACAGGCAUUUCCUGUAUAUUAUAUAUUUCUGUUCACCAUUUUUAAAUAAAAAGUUUUUCUCAACAAGCAGCAGUGUAUUAUUCUUGCUCAGAGUUCCUUUAUUCACCAGCUAUAUAGAGG